This 159-nucleotide ribosomal RNA is filed under the name Ligustrum vulgare (common privet). Its description in RNAcentral is "5.8S ribosomal RNA". It matches the Rfam family "5.8S ribosomal RNA". Rfam says of the family: 5.8S ribosomal RNA (5.8S rRNA) is a component of the large subunit of the eukaryotic ribosome. It is transcribed by RNA polymerase I as part of the 45S precursor that also contains 18S and 28S rRNA. RNAcentral also lists the same sequence under 8 other names. Lineage: Eukaryota; Viridiplantae; Streptophyta; Magnoliopsida; Lamiales; Oleaceae. The record is from RNAcentral.
CGACUCUCGGCAACGGAUAUCUCGGCUCUCGCAUCGAUGAAGAACGCAGCAAAAUGCGAUACUUGGUGUGAAUUGCAGAAUCCCGUGAAUCAUCGAGUUUUUGAACGCAAGUUGCGCCCGAAGCCAUUAUGCUGAGGGCACGUCUGCCUGGGCGUCACG